GAUGAACGCUGGCGGCGUGCUUAACACAUGCAAGUCGAACGGAAAUACUAUGUAGGAAUUGGAGAGUUUACUUGAAGAGGAAUUUUUAGUAUUUUAGUGGCGGACGGGUGAGUAACGCGUGGAUAACCUACCUUAUACUGGGGGAUAACACUUAGAAAUAGGUGCUAAUACCGCAUAAGCGCACAGAAUCGCAUGAUUCAGUGUGAAAAACUCCGGUGGUAUGAGAUGGAUCCGCGUCUGAUUAGUUAGUUGGUGAGGUAAUGGCUCACCAAGACAGCGAUCAGUAGCCGGCCUGAGAGGGUGAACGGCCACAUUGGGACUGAGACACGGCCCAAACUCCUACGGGAGGCAGCAGUGGGGAAUAUUGCACAAUGGGGGAAACCCUGAUGCAGCGACGCCGCGUGAGUGAAGAAGUAUUUCGGUACGUAAAGCUCUAUCAGCAAGGAAGAAAAUGACGGUACUUGACUAAGAAGCCCCGGCUAACUACGUGCCAGCAGCCGCGGUAAUAC
This 509-nucleotide ribosomal RNA is filed under the name uncultured bacterium. Its description in RNAcentral is "bacterial SSU rRNA". It matches the Rfam family "Bacterial small subunit ribosomal RNA", at positions 28 to 526 of the family's 1533-position model. The record is from RNAcentral.